Molecule: small RNA, 841 nt
Filed under: Histoplasma ohiense
Lineage: Eukaryota; Fungi; Ascomycota; Eurotiomycetes; Onygenales; Ajellomycetaceae
Description: hypothetical lncRNA
Source: RNAcentral
UUCUUCCUUUCGCUCCUGAUAUCCGCCAUCCAUGCCGCUACGUUAUCAAUAGCCUGUUUAGGAGGUCACCUGUCUGGCGAUUGUCAUUUAGUUCCCUUUCACCCGCCGUCGUUUGCGCAUAUCUCGCGCCCUUGCGCGUUCUCCAGGACGUCCAGUUUAUCUAUGUGUCACGCCAGCUUCUGACGCAAACCGUUGGGUAGAAUAAUAUCAGGCCACCAUUAUAGCGUGAUGGAACUAUGCCUUGUUUGAUUUUCUGCCGUACAUGCGUUUUUGUUCCUCUUUGGAAAGGUCGAUAAAUUUACAACAAACAAGAUAUUUCAUCUAUUCACACUGAUUCUCAAGUUUCCCUUGCUUCCCCACUUCCCCCUCUAGACUUCUGAUAUUUUGUGUAGCUCUCGCACGUUGUUCGGGAUGGAGGGGGGUAAUGCUUCUCCUAUUUCUAUAAGAGCAGGGCUAUACCAGACAUGGCACUCACUAUAUCUUUGUCUGGUGGUGGAAAGUCGCUGCUCGAAGCAUCAGACUUUAGGAAGAGACCUGUAAAAAGGCUUACUGAUGUUCUUAUUUAAUUUCCCCCCAUCUUGUCCAGCCCGUGCUCCUAAGAUGUCACGCGGGAAAUAUGGUCCAGCAUGGCGCUUCCGACUGCAAUGUACUGUACAUAUUUUCCCUUGCUUCAGAGACCCUUCAUUUUCACUCUUGUUGUUUUAUCUUCUUCACUCUUCCUAGAUAUUGGUAGACUAUAAACUGAAAUAGUUUUGACAUGUGAUCUCCCCCCACCUUGAAUAGCGGGUGAGAAUUGGCCGACCUUGGAAGAGGAGGUGUACGUAAAUACAGACAAAGCCAG